GCCCUCUCAGGAUCACACCUGGAGAGUUUCCAGUACUCUUUCAGUCUUGGCUAUGGGAAGGAAAGUCAAGCAGAGACUUACCCAUUCCAUUUCUAGCUUGGGCAGUGGCUAUUGAAUGGAAGACAAUCUGCUACAAAU
Molecule: non-coding RNA, 138 nt
Organism: Ornithorhynchus anatinus (platypus)
Lineage: Eukaryota; Metazoa; Chordata; Mammalia; Monotremata; Ornithorhynchidae
Source: Rfam